GUCAGGUACGGUGGCGCAUGCCUGUAAUCCUAGCGGCUCAGGAGACUGAGACAGUAGGACCGUGAGUUCAAAGCCAGCAACAGGAAGGUGCUAAGCAACUCAGUGAGACCCUGUCUCUA
Molecule: small RNA, 119 nt
Filed under: Marmota monax (woodchuck)
Lineage: Eukaryota; Metazoa; Chordata; Mammalia; Rodentia; Sciuridae
Source: RNAcentral